AUACGGAGGGUGCAAGCGUUGUUCGGAAUUACUGGGCGUAAAGCGCGGGCAGGUGGUCUGUUAAGUCGUUUGUGAAAAUCCGGGGCUCAACCCCGCGAAAUGCAGACGAUACUGGCAGGCUGGAGAUCGGUAGAGGCUAGCGGAAUUCCUGGUGUAGCGGUGGAAUGCGUAGAUAUCAGGAAGAACACCUGUGGCGAAGGCGGCUAGCUGGGCCGAGUCUGACACUCAUCCGCGAAAGCGUGGGGAGCAAACGGGAUUAGAUACCCCGGUAGUCC
RNAcentral lists this ribosomal RNA (275 nucleotides) under uncultured bacterium. RNAcentral describes it as "partial 16S ribosomal RNA". It matches the Rfam family "Bacterial small subunit ribosomal RNA", at positions 523 to 796 of the family's 1533-position model. The record is from RNAcentral.